GCUUGAAUGUUUGAUUGAUGCUUCAC
This 26-nucleotide small RNA is filed under the name Bombyx mori (domestic silkworm). RNAcentral's name for it is "ovarian small RNA-17156". The record is from RNAcentral. Lineage: Eukaryota; Metazoa; Arthropoda; Insecta; Lepidoptera; Bombycidae.